GCACCACCGACCACUAACGUAGUAAACACCACGGCGAACGUGAGGGGAAGGAGCUGAAGCAGCAGUGGCGGCGAGCACAGGAGGAGCGGAGGCCGGAGAGUGUCUCUGGUGAAAAGUGCAAACAGGUUUGAGGGUGAGGCUACAUAUAUAGCAACUCAUUGAUCAGUAAUAAGCUUUUAAAUAAAAUUUAAAUUCGUAAUCAAUUAAUCUUUAUAUAUAGCAACUCAUUGAUCAGUAAUAAGCUUUUAAAUAAAAUUUAAAUUCGUAAUAAAUUAAUCUUUAACCUAUAAGACUAAAAGAUACCAUAAACAAAAAAUUAACUAAAUAAGCACAACUAACUUAGAUUUAACUAGUGAUUAGUUCAUUCUUCGAUUUAAGUAAAUAUCUAAUAUUUAAAUAAGGAAUGCUAAGAGACUAGCAGAAUUUGUGAUAUUUAGCCAUCAAUUAGCCAUCAUCAAUAUUUUCAAUAGUGUGAAAUGAGAUCUAAUGAUGUAGGAUUAAUUAUUUUUCCUUUGAUGGUUAAGUGCUGGCCAAAUUUCAACAAAAAUACUGACCCCAUAGACUUUCUCUAAUUUUAAUAAAAAUAGCAUACAGAUGGCUUAAAUAUUACCACAUGGUAAAUUAAUUCUUUUAAGCCCGACGUGGGCUAAUUGUGAGUGUGAACAUUUCAAGAAAAGCUCAGUGUCAUAACCUCCGCAAAAACCGAACAAGAUGGUUAAAAACUUAAAAUCACAAAUUCCACAAAAAUUGUAUACACAUGGAACCAUACAAAUGCUUCCUACUAAAUUAGAGAAACAAAUGAUAACAUUCUACCAAGAAGCUUAUGUCAUUAUUUGAAUAUUUGUAAAUAAAUAACCACCACCCCCCACAAAAACAAAACAAAAAAAACAUACAAAAAAAAUGACACAUGGAGGAUUUAUCUUUUUAUGUUGUCACCAAAAGAUAUGCUAGGCCUUUCAGGUAUUCAACAAUCUCCGAUCCACCAAGUUUUGAACUUCCAAAUACUCUAUCAACAAAUGUGAUUGGAACCUGUAUGUAUGCGAAACUAAAGUCAGCUCCAAAGUGAAUUAUGAACUCUUAGUCACCCAAUCCUCAAGUUGCCAUCAUGAGAGAUGUUUCAUACGUAGAUUCAAAUGUGAAAUUUUGUAGCAUCAUUGUUUUAUCUAAUCAUUAAGUGCUUACUUCGCUGUAUUAAACUACCGGUCAUGUUUAUGCCUAGUGGCAAGCAAAUAAUAUAACUCACAAAAAGAGAAAGAUCAAUAGAAAAGAAUAGAGCCAACCCUGAGAAGAAUUCCAAUGUCCAGCCAAUUCAGUGCUAUUAGAAAAUGUUUCUAUGAUUUGUUUGUGUUCAACAUCGUUCCAAAUCUCAUGGAUAUCUACUGAAGACCAAGGGCUAUCUACUUUUGUACGUUAAGGUAAAUUUCACAAGGUGACCGUCAAAGGCACAACUACAGUGGCCACUAGCACCAACAGUGCACUAAUUGUCUCAAAAUAAAGCACACACUUGUAUGUUGUAUACAAAUGAUCAACGCUAAUACACAUCUAAAUCAAGAGCUAUGAACUAAUGAAAGUCAACAAAACAACCAGGUUAACCUAUAUUAUAAACAUCAUUAUGUAAAUGUACCUCUUCAAUAUGGUAUCCUUUUCUGGAUGCUCUUACUAUCAUCUCCAUUUGAAAGACAUAUCCCUUACUAACACAGCAACUAAUGAUGUCUUCAAGAACA
RNAcentral lists this long non-coding RNA (1724 nucleotides) under Arachis ipaensis. Its description in RNAcentral is "long non-coding RNA (AIPA_LNC000758)". The record is from RNAcentral. Lineage: Eukaryota; Viridiplantae; Streptophyta; Magnoliopsida; Fabales; Fabaceae.